ACCUGGUGAUGUGGGCAUUUACGUAGCAAGUCCCUAAAGUGCUCCUAAGUCUUGAAAAAGAGUUCUCCAUCCAUCUGUGAGAAAUUUGUGAUGGAUCUCCAUAGCU
This is a small nucleolar RNA of Malania oleifera, 106 nucleotides long. The record is from RefSeq and is a predicted model, not a curated record. NCBI's taxonomy places the organism in Eukaryota, Viridiplantae, Streptophyta, Magnoliopsida, Santalales, Ximeniaceae.